Homo sapiens (human) is the source of this 1659-nucleotide long non-coding RNA. Ensembl annotates it as urothelial cancer associated 1. Its record names the gene UCA1. Lineage: Eukaryota; Metazoa; Chordata; Mammalia; Primates; Hominidae. The record is from Ensembl.
ACCUUACGACAUUCCACCAUUAUGACGUGUUCCUGCCCUGCCCCAACUGAUCAAUCGACCCUGUGACAUUCUUCUGGACAAUGAGUCCCAUCAUCUCUCCACCAUGCACCUUGUGACUCCCUCCUCUGCUGACAACAGAUAACCACCUUUAACUGUAACUUUCCACAGCCUACCCCAGCCCUAUAAAGCUGCCCCUCUCCUAUCUCCCUUCGCUGACUCUCUUUUCAGACUCAGCCCACUUGCACCCAAGUGAAUUAACAGCCUUGUUGCUCACACAAAGCCUGUUUAGGUGGUCUUCUAUACGGACAUGCUUGACACUUGGUGCCAAAAUCUGGGCCAGGGGGACUCCUUCGUGAGACCGGCCCCCUGUCCUGGCCCUCAUUCCGUGAAGAGAUCCACCUGCGACCUCGGGUCCUCAGACCAGCCCAAGGAACAUCUCACCAAUUUCAAAUCGGAUCUCCUCGGCUUAGUGGCUGAAGACUGAUGCUGCCCGAUCGCCUCAGAAGCCCCUUGGACCAUCACAGAUGCCGAGCUUCGGGUAACUCUUACGGUGGAGGGAUCUGCAAUCAGAACUAUUGAACUUCUCCAUUCAGACCGCCACUCACACCUAUGGGAAAAGGGUAAUGUAUCAUCGGCUUAGCAACAGGGAAUACUAUUCGUAUGAUGGAAAAUGGGGACAAAAGGCUUUGGUACAUAAAACAUUAUUCCUUCCUUGGCCUAAAAACUCAUCGCCACCUACAUUAAAGCUAAUAUGCCUGAUUACUGUUUUUAGAGAACUUAUUUUAUUAGGGCAGUUCCAAGCUCAAAAAUACGCUAACUGGCACCUUGUUAGCUACAUAAAAAUGCACCCUAGACCCGAAACUUACUAGACUCAUUAUAAAAUUUUCUUUAAGGUGUCCACGCAGUCCCUGGUCACACUUGAAGCAGUCCGGAGAAAUAUCAGCCCUACCCCAGUAAUCCCCAGAAGGAACUUACACUUUUUUUUAAUCUUUUCCUACAACUUCAUAUUUUAUAAAUAAAAAGACAAAAAUGUCAGGCCUGUGAGCUGAAGCUUAGCCAUUGUAACCCCUGUGACCUGCACAUAUCCGUCCAGGUGGCCUGCAGGAGCCAAGAAGUCUGGAGCAGCCGAAAAACCACAAAGAAGUGAAACAGCCAGUUCCUGCCUUAACUAAUUAACCCACCUUACGACAUUCCACCAUUAUGACUUGUCCACCAUUAUGACUUGUUCCUGCCCUGCCCCAACUGAUCAAUCAACCCUGUGACAUUCUUCUCCUGGACAAUGAGUCCCAUCAUCUCUCCACCAUGCACCUUGUGACCCCCUCCUCUGCUGAGGAUAACCACCUUUAACUGUAACUUUCCACGCCUACCCAAGCCCUAUAAAGCUGCCCCUCUCCUAUCUCCCUUCACUGACUCUCUUUUCGGACUCAGCCCACUUGCACCCAAGUGAAUUAACAGCCUUGUUGCUCACACAAAGCCUGAUUGGGUGUCUUCUAUACGGACACGCGUGACAGGAACCUCAACCCAAAGGCAGUCUGAUGAGGUGUCUAAGAUAAAAGUAGCGGCACAAAGGCUUUUGUAAACAGAGGCGUUUCAUGUGGUUUUCCUUUCCUUUCCUUAUAUGUGAAAAGGUGACAGAAAAGAAAUCUUCCUAAAAGAGUC